AGCUUUGCGUAGUGUCAGUAUCUUAGCGAAUGAGGUUUAUCCGAGGCACAGUUACUGCUGAUUGAAAAUUUCUCUGAACCUGAAUGAUUCUUUCUAUUUCCUUUGCAUAAUAUUGUAACACUGAUCUGUG
Molecule: small nuclear RNA, 130 nt
Organism: Fukomys damarensis (Damara mole-rat)
Lineage: Eukaryota; Metazoa; Chordata; Mammalia; Rodentia; Bathyergidae
Gene: U4
Rfam family: U4 spliceosomal RNA
About the family: U4 small nuclear RNA (U4 snRNA) is a component of the major U2-dependent spliceosome. The structure of U4 snRNA from yeast and human has been reported. U4 snRNA presents a k-turn RNA motif in the 5p-SL related to recognition of Snu13 protein.
Source: Ensembl